Molecule: small RNA, 121 nt
Filed under: Rhizobium sp. Leaf371
Lineage: Bacteria; Pseudomonadati; Pseudomonadota; Alphaproteobacteria; Hyphomicrobiales; Rhizobiaceae
Description: Rhizobiales sRNA Atu_C8
Rfam family: Rhizobiales sRNA Atu_C8
Source: Rfam by way of RNAcentral
GAACAUUCAAGCAAUCAUUCUUGUGGUGGGAUCGCGCAUGGGCAGGAUGGUGUAACCAUCCGGCGAUAGCCACCCAUGCGCAAACCAAGGCUCCUGACGGGGCCUUUUUUUAUGCCUUCGA